UACGUAGGGUGCAAGCGUUAAUCGGAAUUACUGGGCGUAAAGCGUGCGUAGACGGUCAUGUAAGUCGGAUGUGAAAGCCCCGGGCUCAACCUGGGAAUUGCAUUCGAGACUGCAUGGCUUGGGUGCGGAAGAGGGAAGCGGAAUUUCCGGUGUAGCGGUGAAAUGCGUAGAUAUCGGAAGGAACACCAGUGGCGAAAGCGGCUUCCUGGUCCGACACCGACGUUCAGGCACGAAAGCGUGGGGAGCAAACAGG
Molecule: ribosomal RNA, 253 nt
Filed under: uncultured bacterium
Lineage: Bacteria
Description: partial 16S ribosomal RNA
Rfam family: Bacterial small subunit ribosomal RNA
Source: RNAcentral